Molecule: non-coding RNA, 114 nt
Organism: Ilex paraguariensis (yerba mate)
Lineage: Eukaryota; Viridiplantae; Streptophyta; Magnoliopsida; Aquifoliales; Aquifoliaceae
Source: the annotation of a GenBank genome assembly
ACGAUCAUACUAGCACUAAUGCAAUGGAUCCCAUCAGAACUCUGCAGUUAAGCAUACUUGGGUGAGAGUAGUACGAGGAUGGGUGACCCACUGAAAAGUCCUCGUGUUACACCA